Molecule: transfer RNA, 78 nt
Filed under: Ruaniaceae bacterium
Lineage: Bacteria; Bacillati; Actinomycetota; Actinomycetes; Micrococcales; Ruaniaceae
Description: tRNA-Pro
Rfam family: tRNA
About the family: Transfer RNA (tRNA) molecules are approximately 80 nucleotides in length. Their secondary structure includes four short double-helical elements and three loops (D, anti-codon, and T loops).
Source: RNAcentral
CGGGCUGUAGCUCAGUUUGGUCAGAGUGCACGGCUGGGGGCCGUGAUGUCGCAGGUUCAAAUCCUGUCAGCCCGACCA